UACAGGGAAAUUGAAUAAUAAAUUAUCAAUUGAAUGAUCAAUGAUGUAAAAUAUGAUAUUUUUUCCGUGGUUAUACUGUUGCUAAAUUGACUUUUCUCUCCAAGAAAUCUUCUGAAAACUUCACACCACCACCUGAAUGCCCACUCCCAAGUGGUCGGGGCUCCACGGGAAUGCUGACCACACUUCCUCUCAGGGGCAGACCUGCAGGGCUGCUCCUCCCCAGUGCCCUUCUUCUCUUACUGUGAGACUAUGUCAGCACAUUAUGAUUAUGAUGCAGCAGCAAUAGAACAAUGCCCAGAGCAGCCUGGACUGCGCUUCUUUUACUAAGUGGUUAUUUCCUGCUGGGUAGACAUAAACACCUGCUAAAGAAAUGUGAAAAGAGUGGAAACGUGCUGUUUGGAGAUUAUUUUCCUAGUCGACAUCCAGGAGAUCUCCAGAGAUCUAUUUCAGCCCCAUCUGUUGAUUCCAUCAUGAAAAAGAGGAAGCUCAAACUGAAGUGAGUUAAAAACUUCAUCUCCUAGAGAAGAUUGUGGCUCAGCCUGAGUUGAGUUUUUUAUGUGUAUAUGCAAGUGCAAUGAAGAAGAACACCAGCAAGUCUACCACGAGGAUCAAUGAGCAAGAUGCUCUCUGCACCCCACACUCCCAUGAUCCAAGAGAUCUUCAAAGUAUGUUGGAUGGAGGAGAGUAUGCCCCUUUUGUAUCUCCUCCCAUGUUAGAGAGCAAUUUUAUCCAGGUUAACAGGAGAGGUGAAUCCAUUUACCUUCAUAACCGAGCCAACUGGGUGACCGUAGGCAUCUGUUCUUCCAGUUCCACCCACAAGAUCCCUAAUGUGAUGCUACUGGCACAUCUGACACCUGGUUCCCGGAAAGAUACAGAACCGCUAUUUAAAAGUCUCCUGACAUCUCCUCCUGCAGAGAAACUGGUGCUCACCAGGUUUCUCCCUCUGCAGUUUGUGACUCUUUCUGUGCAUGACGCAGAGAACAUGCGCCUAAAAGUAAAGCUGGUGAGUGGUCGAGCCUACUACUUACAGCUCUGCACUUCUGCAUGUAAACAAGACACCUUGUUUUCUCAAUGGGUGGCCCUCAUCUCCCUCUUGAAUCAGGAGAAAGCGAAAGUUUCCAAAGUGUCAGAGGUUUCAAGUCUCUCAGGAAUUACGAAUAGCACAGACGUCACAGGCUCCACGGACGUGAUGGAUAUCACAGCGUUCACAGCCAUCCUGACCCCGUACAUGUACGCAGGUAGAGGCCCUGAACAUGUCAGGGACAGCAUAGAUUUCUCAGAAUUCACAGACAUCACCGACAUCACAGAUGUCACAGACCUUCCAGAAAAUGAGGUCCCAGAGGUCCCGGAUAUAAGAAUUGUUACAGAAGUCAUAGAAGUCAGAGAAGCCACAGAAGUCACAGACAACUCUGAUAUUACAAACUGCUCGGGAGUCACAGUGGUGUUUGAAAACAAUGACUUAAUCAGGGCCAAGCAAGAGGAGAAGGAAAAAUUGAAAAACAUUCUGAAGCCUGGGUGUCUACAAGAUACAAAAAGUAAGAGUGAGUUGAAAGAAUCCUCAAAACAUGUCACCAUCUCAAACAUAACACUGACUUUUGAAGGUAAAAGAUAUUUUCAAACUACCUUGACUCCAGUAGAAAGUGAGGCAAAUACAUCCAAGGAGAUGGAGAAUAAGACCUCUGAAGAAAAGACACCUGAUUUUCAGAGCACGGCUCUCGAGGCUGAAGAAUCCAGGAGCUUGAGAACUGAAUCAAACACUUCAGGUAUGGAACAAAUGCCACUACAUAUUUUACUGUGAUCCCUGGUAUCCAGUAGUCAUCUCUGGUUCCUCCAAGAGUAGGGUGGUUAAGAGCAAAGGAAUUCAGCUAGACUUUUGGAUGCCUUUCCUUUCUUCACGAUGCUCCAUUCUGAGAAUCCUACACUGAAGAAACUCUUUCUCAAAGCUGAUCCUCAGGCUAUCUUCCAAGUGGAAAACAUUAUGACUUUUGAAUUAAAUGGACUGACUUCUCCACCUUUUCUAAAAAUCAGAUACAAACUACUAAACUAAAAAGCAAACACAGCUCAGGAAAAGACAUUCAGCGCAAGAGGAAAACCAAGCAGUGUCUUCUAUGUGGCAGAAAUAAAGCCUAUUACUAAUUAUUAAGAAUUCAAAUCCAUGUCAACCUAAUUUCAUAAAACUCAACUAUUUUAA
This is a non-coding RNA of Macaca mulatta (Rhesus monkey), 2191 nucleotides long. The record is from RefSeq and is a predicted model, not a curated record. NCBI's taxonomy places the organism in Eukaryota, Metazoa, Chordata, Mammalia, Primates, Cercopithecidae.